GGGACAGUUACCAUAGAAACGCAUCCUCUAUCGUCGGGCCCCGGGCGACAGUUACCAUAGAAACGCAUCCUCUAUCGUCGGGCCCCGGGCGACAGUUACCAUAGAAACACGUCCUCUAUCGUCGGGCCCCGGGCGACAGUUACCAUAAUACAUCGAAACGAAAUCAACCAAAUCGAUCGAAUCAACGAUUUGACUGAUCUGACUAACAGCUAGGAAAGAAGAGGCCAUGCAUCAGUUUAAACACACAGUAGGACAUUAUUGAGUCUGUCAGGGUCAGUGCAUCAGUUUAAACACAGUAGGACAUUAUUGAGUCUGUCAGGGUCAGUGCAUCAGUUUAAACACAGUAGGACAUUAUUGAGUCUGUCAGGGUCAGUGUAUCAGUUUAAACACAGUAGGACAUUAUUGAGUCUGUCAGGGUCAGUGUAUCAGUUUAAACACAGUAGGACAUUAUUGAGUCUGUCAGGGUCAGUGCAUCAGUUUAAACACAGUAGGACAUUAUUGAGUCUGUCAGGGUCAGUGCCUUAUGCUUCUGGCCAGCGGACGUUUCAACAGCAGCGCAAUGUGUGUGUGUCCAUUUGAAAUGACAAGGGGAAUCACAGGACAUGCCAUAAUGUGUGUGUGUGUGUGUGUGCAAGACACUGAGACACAAGUUUUUAAAAAACAACCACCCGUCAGUCAUCUCAAUGUCCCGUUACAGUUUCUUCAUCGCUCAUCAUCCUCAUGUCUCUUUUACAGUAGUUCUCAUUCAUUCAUCAUCCUCAUGUCUCUUUUACAGUAGUUCUCAUUCAUUCAUCAUCCUCAUGUCUCUUUUACAGUAGUUCUCAUUCAUUCAUCAUCCUCAUGUCUCUUUUACAGUAGUUCUCAUUCAUUCAUCAUCCUCAUGUCUCUUUUACAGUAGUUCUCAUUCAUUCA
This is a long non-coding RNA of Oncorhynchus tshawytscha (Chinook salmon), 912 nucleotides long. RefSeq lists it as uncharacterized. NCBI's taxonomy places the organism in Eukaryota, Metazoa, Chordata, Actinopteri, Salmoniformes, Salmonidae. The transcript has 4 exons. The record is from RefSeq and is a predicted model, not a curated record.